AACCGCCCAGUGCGGAGUCACAUGCAGGGUGGUGUGGGGGCUGGAGGCUAGAUACCUCUGGCUACCCGAU
Molecule: unclassified non-coding RNA, 70 nt
Filed under: Shewanella morhuae
Lineage: Bacteria; Pseudomonadati; Pseudomonadota; Gammaproteobacteria; Alteromonadales; Shewanellaceae
Source: RNAcentral